UGCAAGUCGAACGGGUAGUUGUCUUCGGAUGGCUAUUAGUGGCAAACGGGUGAGUAACACGUGGGGAUCUGCCCAGUAGUGGGGAACAACUCCGAGAAAUCGGAGCUAAUACCGCAUAGGGUCUGUUGUGAGAGCGACGAGACUAAAGCCAGUAAUGGCGCUAUUGGAGGAACCUGCGGCUGAUUAGCUAGUUGGUGGGGUAAAGGCCUACCAAGGCGAUGAUCAGUAGCUGGUCUGAGAGGAUGGACAGCCACACUGGGACUGAGAUACGGCCCAGACUCCUACGGGAGGCAGCAGCAAGGAAUUUUCGUCAAUGGGGGAAACCCUGAACGAGCAACGCCGCGUGGGCGAAGAAGUCUUUCGGGAUGUAAAGCCCUUUUCCCUGUGAAGAAAGAAAGACGGUAACAGGGGAAUAAGCAUCGGCUAACUACGUGCCAGCAGCCGCGGUAAUACGUAGGAUGCAAGCGUUGUCCGGAAUUAUUGGGCGUAAAGAGCGCGCAGGCGGUUUUACAAGUCAGAUGUGAAAUAUCCGGGCUUAACCCGGAGGGGUCAUUUGAAACUGUGAGACUAGAGUACAGCAGAGGAUAGCGGAAUUCCCGGUGUAGUGGUGAAAUGCGUAGAUAUCGGGAGGAACACCAGUGGCGAAGGCGGCUAUCUGGGCUGAAACUGACGCUGAGGCGCGAAGGCUAAGGGUAGCAAACAGGAUUA
Molecule: ribosomal RNA, 708 nt
Filed under: uncultured bacterium
Lineage: Bacteria
Description: bacterial SSU rRNA
Rfam family: Bacterial small subunit ribosomal RNA
Source: RNAcentral